UACGAAGGGGGCUAGCGUUGCUCGGAAUUACUGGGCGUAAAGGGCGCGUAGGCGGAUGUCUAAGUCAGAGGUAGAAGCCCAGGGCUCAACCUUGGAACUGCCUUUGAUACUGGACAUCUUGAGUACGGGAGAGGUGAGUGGAACUCCGAGUGUAGAGGUGAAAUUCGUAGAUAUUGGGAAGAACACCGGUGGCGAAGGCGGCUCUCUGGACCGAUACUGACGCUGAGGCGCGAAAGCGUGGGGAGCAAACAGG
This 253-nucleotide ribosomal RNA is filed under the name uncultured bacterium. RNAcentral describes it as "partial 16S ribosomal RNA". It matches the Rfam family "Bacterial small subunit ribosomal RNA", at positions 524 to 776 of the family's 1533-position model. The record is from RNAcentral.